RNAcentral lists this ribosomal RNA (486 nucleotides) under uncultured bacterium. RNAcentral's name for it is "partial 16S ribosomal RNA". It matches the Rfam family "Bacterial small subunit ribosomal RNA", at positions 29 to 507 of the family's 1533-position model. The record is from RNAcentral.
AUUGAACGCUGGCGGCAUGCCUUACACAUGCAAGUCGAACGGCAGCACGGGUGCUUGCACCUGUUGGCGAGUGGCGAACGGGUGAGUAAUACAUCGGAACAUGUCCUGUAGUGGGGGAUAGCCCGGCGAAAGCCGGAUUAAUACCGCAUACGAUCUACGGAUGAAAGCGGGGGACCUUCGGGCCUCGCGCUAUAGGGUUGGCCGAUGGCUGAUUAGCUAGUUGGGGGGGUAAAGGCCUACCAAGACGGCGAUCAGUAGCUGGUGUGAGAGGAGGACCAGCCACACGGGGACUGGGACACGGCCCAGAGUCCUACGGGAGGGAGCAGUGGGGAAUUUUGGACAAUGGGCGAAAGCCUGAUACAGCAAUGCCGAGUGUGUGAAGAAGGCCUUCGGGUUGUGAAGCACUUUUGUGCGGAGAGAAAUCCUUGGCCCUAAUACGGUCGGGGGAUGACGGUACCGGAAGAAUAAGCACCGGCUAACUACGUG